RNAcentral lists this long non-coding RNA (259 nucleotides) under Elaeis guineensis (African oil palm). Its description in RNAcentral is "long non-coding RNA (EGUI_LNC012036)". Lineage: Eukaryota; Viridiplantae; Streptophyta; Magnoliopsida; Arecales; Arecaceae. The record is from RNAcentral.
UCUUUGUUUAAGAGUUGGAUAUGUCUUCUCCUCCAUAGAUGUCCAAAAGUUGGAUAUAUCUUCUCCUCCAUGAUCAGUCUAAGAGUUGGAUGGAAAGAAAAGAAAAGAGAUUGGAUCUCUUUUCUUCUUUUUCAAAUAUUCUUCUUUUUCUUAAAAAAAAAAAUCAAAUUGGAUCUGAUUUCUUAAUCCUCUCAUGGAUCUCUUUGAUUAUCUUAAGAAGAGAAUCGAAAGAGAUCAAAGAUUCGAUAAUUCAAAGGGC